Molecule: ribosomal RNA, 91 nt
Filed under: uncultured bacterium
Lineage: Bacteria
Description: partial 16S ribosomal RNA
Source: RNAcentral
AGGACGAAUGCUUUCUGUAGUUGGUAAAACUACCUUUCAGCAGGGACGAUUGUGACGGUACCUGCAGAAGAAGCACCGGCCAACUACGUGC